GCCGGGGUAGCUCAGUGGUAGAGCAAACGGCUCAUAAUCGUUAGGCCGAGGGUUCGAUCCCCUCCCCCGGCA
This 72-nucleotide transfer RNA is filed under the name Chloroflexaceae bacterium. RNAcentral describes it as "tRNA-Met". It matches the Rfam family "tRNA". From Rfam's summary of the family: Transfer RNA (tRNA) molecules are approximately 80 nucleotides in length. Their secondary structure includes four short double-helical elements and three loops (D, anti-codon, and T loops). The record is from RNAcentral. Lineage: Bacteria; Bacillati; Chloroflexota; Chloroflexia; Chloroflexales; Chloroflexaceae.